UACGAAGGGGGCUAGCGUUGCUCGGAAUGACUGGGCGUAAAGGGCGCGUAGGCGGUUUGUACAGUCAGAUGUGAAAUUCCCGGGCUCAACCUGGGGGCUGCAUUUGAUACGUGCGGACUUGGGUGGGGAAGAGGGUCGUGGAAUUCCCAGUGUAGAGGUGAAAAUUCGUAGAUAUUGGGAAGAACACCGAUGGCGAAGGCAGCCAUCUGGACCGACACUGACGCUGAGGCGCGAAAAGCGUGGGGGAGCAAACAGGG
This 257-nucleotide ribosomal RNA is filed under the name uncultured bacterium. RNAcentral describes it as "partial 16S ribosomal RNA". It matches the Rfam family "Bacterial small subunit ribosomal RNA", at positions 524 to 777 of the family's 1533-position model. The record is from RNAcentral.